AUUAGAGACCUUUUCUAUGGAAAGCUCAGUAAUUUUUAUUAAAAGAUUGCUACUGUUCAUGUAAAACAUGAAAAAAAGUUGUUUAGUGAACUGGCAGCAUGGAUUUAGGGUGGGAUUAAAUAUUCAGUAUUGUGCUCUCACUUCGGAGAACUUGCAGGAGACAAUUGUAGUGAUUGUUGGUUUUCCUCACCCACUGCAGUUUUGUUCCACUUCUUUCCUAGUCCCAGAUAAUAUUAGUACAAUGCAACAUCUCAACAGUAAGUGCCUCUGCCCCUGCUCUCCCCUCCCUCCCCAGCCUGGUCUGCAGUGCAGUGCACUGCCUUAGGCCACAACUCAAAAGCGC
This 343-nucleotide long non-coding RNA is filed under the name Androctonus crassicauda. The record is from RNAcentral. Lineage: Eukaryota; Metazoa; Arthropoda; Arachnida; Scorpiones; Buthidae.